RNAcentral lists this unclassified non-coding RNA (231 nucleotides) under plant metagenome. RNAcentral describes it as "partial contains small subunit ribosomal RNA, internal transcribed spacer 1, and 5.8S ribosomal RNA". The record is from RNAcentral.
UUUCCGUAGGUGAACCUGCGGAAGGAUCAUUAAAGAGAUCAUGCCCUCACAGGUAGACCUCCCACCCUUUGUUUACAAUACCUUUGUUGCUUUGGCGGGCCCGUUUGGCCCCGCGCUGAACAACCGGCCCCGGCUGGUCAGUGCCCGCCAGAGAACCAAAAACUCUGAAUUAAAUGUCGUCUGAGUACUAUGUAAUAGUUAAAACUUUCAACAACGGAUCUCUUGGUUCUG